CUCAAAUUGAAAGGGAAAAAUUGAAGAUUUAUCAAUGCAUGAGUUAGGAAUGUUCAUCCCUAAGUGAAAUUAACAUCAAGCACAAAGAAGGAAGAAGGCGCAAGUCACUCGAAGGCACAAGCAUCUCAAGAUCGCGGUAAAUCCCUUGCUUGAUUGCGGCGCACCCGGACCGAACACACACACGUAAUGUCGACCUUAUGCGCUUCCGGUCCAAGUUGUUGUUUUGAUGGGUUAACUUACCAUUUUGUCUAGUAAAUGUUAA
Helianthus annuus (common sunflower) is the source of this 262-nucleotide long non-coding RNA. RefSeq lists it as uncharacterized. Lineage: Eukaryota; Viridiplantae; Streptophyta; Magnoliopsida; Asterales; Asteraceae. The transcript has 3 exons. The record is from RefSeq and is a predicted model, not a curated record.